AUUGAACGCUGGCGGCAGGCCUAACACAUGCAAGUCGAGCGGAUGAAGGGAGCUUGCUCCUGGAUUCAGCGGCGGACGGGUGAGUAAUGCCUAGGAAUCUGCCUGGUAGUGGGGGAUAACGUCCGGAAACGGGCGCUAUUACCGCAUACGUCCUGAGGGAGAAAGUGGGGGAUCUUCGGACCUCACGCUAUCAGAUGAGCCUAGGUCGUAUUAGCUAGUUGGUGGGGUAAAGGCCUACCAAGGCGACGAUCCGUAACUGGUCUGAGAGGAUGAUCAGUCACACUGGAACUGAGACACGGUACAGACUCCGACGGGAGGCAGAAGUGGGGAAUAUUGGAAGAUGGGCGGAAGCCUGAUCAAGCCAUGCCGCGUGUGUGAAGAAGGUCUUCGGAUUGUAAAGCACUUUAAGUUGGGAGGAAGGGCAGUAAGUUAAUACCUUGCUGUGUUGACGUUACCAACAGAAUAAGCACCGGCUAACUUCGUG
This 484-nucleotide ribosomal RNA is filed under the name uncultured bacterium. RNAcentral's name for it is "partial 16S ribosomal RNA". It matches the Rfam family "Bacterial small subunit ribosomal RNA", at positions 30 to 507 of the family's 1533-position model. The record is from RNAcentral.